UCUGUAAUUGAUCCUACCCCUCAGUGUGAAUAGAAAAUGCCAUGUUUGCAGCUGGCAUUGUGCUCUUACUGUGGACAGUGCAAAUAGAAAACGGAGGUAACAACAGUGUUUUUAGCAUGAAGAUAUGCUUCUAUGUGGAUAAGCCCCUUAGUCAGCAAAUGCUGAGAAGCAGCAUUCCCUCUUUUGGAAGAUAAACCUUCAUGUGCUUCACAGCCUGUCUUGCACCCAUUCAAAUAGCCUGGUACCCCCAGGUGCCAUGGAGGAUGCUCUAUCCUAUUGCCACUGUUGAAGAACAUGAAGACUAACUGAAAAUAUAUCCCAUGCUAAAAGUGCCAGCAUCAUUUGAUGAACCACUGAUGUUGAAUGGGUCUUAAGAUCAUCAUUAGUGCUUACAAUCAUGUCUCCGUAGAAUUGAAGGCAUUGUUAUAAAUACGUCUGGAUACUCUCUGGUGAACAAUGUCCGGAGGUCUGUGUGGCUAACCAUAUCAAAUGCCCUGGCUAGCUUCAAAACAUAAUAGAAAAAAGACUGGUACUGUUCAUGACAUUCUUCCUGUAAUUCUUGCAUAAACUCAAGUGUAUGAAGUAAAUGUAGAGUUAGUCAGAGUCUAUGAA
Long non-coding RNA from Rhineura floridana, 612 nucleotides. RefSeq lists it as uncharacterized. The record is from RefSeq and is a predicted model, not a curated record. Lineage: Eukaryota; Metazoa; Chordata; Lepidosauria; Squamata; Rhineuridae. The transcript is spliced from 2 exons.